CAUCUGCAGCCUGGGUCACUGGUAACCUGUCAUAGUGACUGAGCUGACACCAAGCCUUGCUCUGAAGCAGGUAUUUUUAUGCAGUUAACCUUCUCUGGGCUGGUGAUUAUGCAACAUGUUUGUUCCCUGAGCACACAUUGUUCUCAGGCGGCCGGCACGGUCACUAAAAAUCCUACCUGUUUUAGAAUCUUCCUAUUAGUAAAUACCAGGCAAUGUCACUAAAAAGGCUUACAGGCUGAGAAGAGGAACUGAACAAAUCUUGGAGCCAAGAUGCAUCUCCUUUUUAGGUGGUACUUCUCCAGGGAACGAUGUCCUUAUCUGUGAGACCUUCAACUGAAUGGAACAGGAAGCCUGACGUCAAAAGCUCCCCCUCGUGACCAAAUCGACUGGGACUUGUUGGAUCCAAGAUGGCAGCUCACUUGACUUCUGAAGAACCUGGAACUUCAUUAUAAUCAAAUUUCCGUGCUAAAUGACAUUCCCGCGAGCACCAUGACAGUUGACAAUCACCAUGACAGUGACAGAAGAAACCAUAAAAUGACAAAAAGGAAGGCGGCAACUCUGGUUCUGAGUUUUCUGCCCAUUUCCAGAAAAGAUGUGAAUAUUCUUCUCUUUGCUUUUAAUGCCUGACCCUGUCAUUAGAGAUAUUCUGUAUCUGUGACUUCCUGGUUUUCACAAGCUGAGAAGGUGAUUUGUGAGCCAAUCUCCUGGUUCUCAAUUUCAUGGCCAUUGAAUGAAGCUGGUACUGCUUGAUGCUCA
Molecule: long non-coding RNA, 756 nt
Organism: Pan troglodytes (chimpanzee)
Lineage: Eukaryota; Metazoa; Chordata; Mammalia; Primates; Hominidae
Exons: 2
Source: RefSeq, a predicted model, not a curated record